ACACGGCCUGCCAUUUUCAAUCCCAUACUCUGUGGAGCACGCCUGCUGCAGCAAUGGGCGGUCGACAUGUAUGUCAAGAUUGAGAGUUGUCGGUUGAGGUGGUUCAGGAAGAACCAGACGCAAAUUCGGGCCGACUUGUAUAAAGGAGUUGUUGAUGCGAUCACAUCGGGCGAGACGCGAGCAAGCGCUGUUGGGACAAGAAUAGUGCUCCCUGGAACAUACCCUGGUGGUAACCGCGACAUGAAAAAGAGACAUAUGGAUGCCAUGGCAAUUGUCCAUACAUACGGGAAGCCUGACAUCUUCUUGACCAUGACUUGCAAUCCUAAAUGGGAAGAGAUAUCGAAUGAGUUGUUGCCUGGUUAG
RNAcentral lists this ribosomal RNA (363 nucleotides) under Triticum aestivum (bread wheat). RNAcentral describes it as "partial small subunit ribosomal RNA". Lineage: Eukaryota; Viridiplantae; Streptophyta; Magnoliopsida; Poales; Poaceae. The record is from RNAcentral.